AGGACUCCCACUGUCAGAUACAUUCAAUAUCUAAAGCAUACAGAACAGAUAGUGUGUGGAAGAUGCUGUCACUGCAUUACUGGCUCAUGUUUCCUUUGUUUCUGAUCACACUAACAGGUGUCAGCUGUGAUCAGCUCACUGCAGUCAAGGAUGAAGAGUCCACUUUACAAGGAAACACUCUCACUCUGUCCUACACAUUAUCCAGAGAUAUUAGAAUAGAUGAUAAUUUCUUCUGGUAUCGACAAUAUCCAGGAAAACCACCAGAGUUCCUGAUCUACAUAUCAGGGACGAACAAUUCAAGACCGUCAGAGUUUCUAAAAUCAGCUGCAAGAUUCUCCACAAAACUGUCUGGAAAAAACCAUCUGGACCUUCAGAUCUCCUCUGCUGCAGUGACAGACUCUGCUGUGUACUACUGUGCUCUGCAGCCCACAGUGACAGGAAACACCAAAACUCUGUACAAAAACCUUUGGAGCAAAGACAACAGAAUACUCCACAACAUCCACUAGAGGGAGCCACACACUGUUAAACCACUGUAGCUAUAAUUCACUUCUUAAAGGAGAGGUUGUUCAUAUAAAUGAAUCAUCCACCAUCGUUGUCCUCGCUCUUCACUGCAGUUUCUAAAAAACUUCCUCAAAAUGAUCAGAUGUGCAGAUCACAGCCUGAUGUUAGCAGACCUGUUAGUGACACUUUAAAUAUCAAAGCAGGACGUUUAAUCUUCAUCCAUCAUUUUUUGCUUCCCAGAUAUUUUAUUCCCACAGAUGUUUCAUGAAUAUAAGAAGAUCGGCUUGUUAGAGCCCAAAUGUGGUAAAAAAUACAUAAUGCAGUGGUAUGGUUUCUUCCUUAUAUAUGUUCAACCCAUAGCAGAGAUGAUCACUGUCACCUUGGUCUGUCCUGCGUCUGAGCAGUUUUUAGUUCAUUUAGAAAACAAGAUUUGUGAAAUGAUUAUUUCCUGAUGAUCGUUUGUAAAUCUGAAACAGUUUCUCUAAAAACAAACAGAAACCAAGCUGCUUUCCUUUGAUGUGUUUUGACUUGUUUUCAAGAUUUGAAAUCAGACAUAAACAAAUAAAUCAUACGUCUGUAGGUGAAUAUGAAUAUUCUAAGAUGGUGAUUUCUGGAUGUGUUCCUGAGCUCAUACUCUGAUUUUAAUGCUGUCUGAAGAUCACAGACGUUCAAAUAAAUUUCUCCAGAUUCUCUGAAUCAUUUGAUGAUAUCAUCUUCUGUAGAUGAUGAGAUAUUCACAGAGAGGAACAUUAAUCACUUUGUAGAUGCUCUUUUCAGCUGAUUGGUGAACCUCAGAGAAACUCUAAGAUUCUUUUUAUACUCGAUCAUGUGACUGACCAGCUGACAGUUAGCCUCAUUAGCUGCUGCAUGUUCCUGUCAGCUGUUUGUUUUUAGCACCACUUACUUUGUUGAGCUGUCCUGUUGGGAUGUUGU
Molecule: non-coding RNA, 1434 nt
Organism: Oreochromis aureus
Lineage: Eukaryota; Metazoa; Chordata; Actinopteri; Cichliformes; Cichlidae
Source: the annotation of a RefSeq genome assembly